Long non-coding RNA from Lycium barbarum (goji berry), 445 nucleotides. RefSeq lists it as uncharacterized. Lineage: Eukaryota; Viridiplantae; Streptophyta; Magnoliopsida; Solanales; Solanaceae. The transcript is spliced from 3 exons. The record is from RefSeq and is a predicted model, not a curated record.
UUCAGAGGAAACGGGAUUUGAGUUUGGACAAGCGUAAAAAGCAAAUAAGAGCUAUUCCCUACUCUGGAGUAUGAUGUGUUGUAGCGCCAGUGACGGGGUGGCGACCACGUUCUGUUCACCGAGUCCCAUAAUGGGGCCGGAUAUGGCAUAUGUUUUGACAUGCAUUAUCUAUGUUAUAUGAGUACACCCAGAUGAUGUGGAGUUAUUAUAGAGGAUGUUCCGGCAGAGUUGGCAAGCUCCAUUUGUUCCUGGGGUGCCACCGAGUCAGAGUUUGUAUGUGUGCUUCUUCUGGAUUGAUGUUAGAGACUUUGCAGACAGAGUCGUGGGUAUAGUAUGUCAGUUGUGUAAGCGGCUUCGUCAGCCGAUAUGCCAUCCUGUCUUAUGCAUUAAAUUCUAUAUGAUCACAGAUUCUGUUUGAUUUGGAAAAUAUCGAAAAGAAUAUUUU